CGUCAGUACAUCACUCUCGUUUCUAUAUAUCCUUUUCGCGGCCAAUCCAAGUGUAAGGCCGUGGGCGCACAUGAUUUUUUUUGCCGUUUUGUUUCGAGCGAAAAAGUGCAUCGAGGUUAACGGCGUUAAGAAAGCAUCAAAAACACCUUGAGAAUCCGCUUUCGAUUCUUUUUACGUGCCAUAACUUUCCGCAGCCCGUUUGAGGGUCCAAACGGCUGAAUUUGAGCCCGAAAAAUUGCGCCCCCUAUUCCCCGCCCAUUAUGGUUUCUGGGGCUUUCCGAAAUGGUGCUAUGGGCGACGUAGUUCUCACGGUUCAAAAGUUAUGAGGUUUUCAAGUUUAGACUCGUUUUAGGCUAAAAAAAAUAAAAAAAUAAAAAGGGG
Molecule: ribosomal RNA, 381 nt
Filed under: Brassica rapa (field mustard)
Lineage: Eukaryota; Viridiplantae; Streptophyta; Magnoliopsida; Brassicales; Brassicaceae
Source: RNAcentral